Molecule: ribosomal RNA, 316 nt
Filed under: uncultured Bacillota bacterium
Lineage: Bacteria; Bacillati; Bacillota
Description: bacterial SSU rRNA
Rfam family: Bacterial small subunit ribosomal RNA
Source: RNAcentral
GACGAACGCUGGCGGCGUGCCUAACACAUGCAAGUCGAGCGAGAGACUUCGGUCUCUAGCGGCGGACGGGUGAGUAACACGUGGGUAACCUGCCUCAGACAGGGGGAUAGCCUUCCGAAAGGAAGAUUAAUACCGCAUAACAUAGUUUAGCCGCAUGGCUAGAUUAUCAAAGGAGUAAUCCGGUUUGAGAUGGACCCGCGGCGCAUUAGCUAGUUGGUGAGGUAAUGGCUCACCAAGGCGACGAUGCGUAGCCGACCUGAGAGGGUGAUCGGCCACAUUGGAACUGAGAUACGGUCCAAACUCCUACGGGUGGCUG